GACGAACGCUGGCGGCGUGCUUAAAACAUGCAAGUCGAACGGAGAUUUUAGAGAGCUUGCUCUUUGAAAUCUUAGUGGCGGACGGGUGAGUAACACGUGAGCAACCUGCCUAUCACAGGGGAAUAACACUUAGAAAUAGGUGCUAAUACCGCAUAUGACCACAAACCGGCAUCGGUUAGGGGUGAAAGGAGUUAAAUCUGGUGAUAGAGGGGCUUGCGUAUCAUUAGCUUGUUGGUGGGGUAACGGCUCACCAAGGCGACGAUGAUUAGCCGAUCUGAGAGGAUGACCGGCCACACUGGAACUGAGAUACGGUCCAG
RNAcentral lists this ribosomal RNA (317 nucleotides) under uncultured bacterium. Its description in RNAcentral is "bacterial SSU rRNA". It matches the Rfam family "Bacterial small subunit ribosomal RNA", at positions 28 to 334 of the family's 1533-position model. The record is from RNAcentral.